Molecule: ribosomal RNA, 253 nt
Filed under: uncultured bacterium
Lineage: Bacteria
Description: partial 16S ribosomal RNA
Rfam family: Bacterial small subunit ribosomal RNA
Source: RNAcentral
UACGUAGGGUGCGAGCGUUAAUCGGAAUUACUGGGCGUAAAGCGUGCGUAGACGGCUAUCUAAGUCGGGUGUGAAAGCCCCGGGCUCAACCUGGGAAUGGCAAUGGAUACUGGCAAGCUAGAGUGCGGUAGAGGGUAGUGGAAUUCCCGGUGUAGCGGUGAAAUGCGUAGAGAUCGGGAGGAACACCAGUGGCGAAGGCGGCUACCUGGACCAGCACUGACACUGAGGCACGAAAGCGUGGGGAGCAAACAGG